Gigantopelta aegis is the source of this 427-nucleotide long non-coding RNA. RefSeq lists it as uncharacterized. The record is from RefSeq and is a predicted model, not a curated record. The transcript is spliced from 2 exons. NCBI's taxonomy places the organism in Eukaryota, Metazoa, Mollusca, Gastropoda, Neomphalida, Peltospiridae.
AAGAACAAAGAUGUCAUAAGGUUCCAUAUCAUGAUGUAUCAUAAUUAUCGACAUUUUCUUGCACUGUAUAGUUUGGGAGCUUUUAUUUGACAUUAAAUAUGUUGGCGCCGUUUUAUUAAAUAUGUUAGCUCAAAAGAGAUAAACCGCUGCUUUAGCAAUUUAUAUUAACUCUUGGUGAGAGGGAAUCUUAAAAAGAUCCAAUUAAUGCCUUAUUGCUUUCAUUUAUUUAUCUGUAAAACGCGACUGAUAAUUGCUUGUUUUUGUUCAGGUUUGGACUCUGGUCGUGUGGGGGCUAUACCUGUGGGGUAUACACUACUUGUAUAUUGAUUUAUAGAUCCUGGGGAUAAAUGAUCCUAUAUGGAAACCCCAGUGUUCUAAUUUACUUAUAAUUAAUUAACCCUAUUAUUAAAGCCCUUCAGAUCCUGAA